RNAcentral lists this ribosomal RNA (497 nucleotides) under uncultured bacterium. Its description in RNAcentral is "partial 16S ribosomal RNA". It matches the Rfam family "Bacterial small subunit ribosomal RNA", at positions 28 to 507 of the family's 1533-position model. The record is from RNAcentral.
GAUGAACGCUGGCGGCGUGCCUAAUACAUGCAAGUCGAGCGAACAGACGAGGAGCUUGCUCCUCUGACGUUAGCGGCGGACGGGUGAGUAACACGUGGAUAACCUACCUAUAAGACUGGGAUAACUUCGGGAAACCGGAGCUAAUACCGGAUAAUAUAUUGAACCGCAUGGUUCAAUAGUGAAAGACGGUUUUGCUGUCACUUAUAGGUGGAUCCGCGCCGCAUUAGCUAGUUGGUAAGGUAACGGCUUACCAAGGCAACGAUGCGUAGCCGACCUGAGAGGGUGAUCGGCCACACUGGAACUGAGACGCGGUCCAGACUCCUACGGGAGGCAGCAGUAGGGAAUCUUCCGCAAUGGGCGAAAGCUUGACGGAGCAACGCCGCGUGAGUGAUGAAGGUCUUCGGAUCGUAAAACUCUGUUAUUAGGGAAGAACAAAUGUGUAAGUAACUAUGCACGUCUUGACGGUACCUAAUCAGAAAGCCACGGCUAACUACGUG